GGGCUCUAGCUCAGUGGUAGAGCAUCUGUCUUGUAAGCAGAAAGUUGCAACUUCAAUCCCUGACAUCUCCA
This is a non-coding RNA of Podarcis lilfordi (Lilford's wall lizard), 71 nucleotides long. NCBI's taxonomy places the organism in Eukaryota, Metazoa, Chordata, Lepidosauria, Squamata, Lacertidae. The record is from the annotation of a GenBank genome assembly.